RNAcentral lists this transfer RNA (67 nucleotides) under Trigonopterus triradiatus. RNAcentral describes it as "tRNA-Ser". The record is from RNAcentral. Lineage: Eukaryota; Metazoa; Arthropoda; Insecta; Coleoptera; Curculionidae.
GAAUCAAGAAAUUCUAAAUAAAGCUUCUAACUUUAAUUUAAAGCAGUGAAACUCUGUUUUUGAUUCU